GGUUAAGCGACUAAGCGUACACGGUGGAUGCCCUGGCAGUCAGAGGCGAUGAAGGACGUGCUAAUCUGCGAUAAGCGUCGGUAAGGUGAUAUGAACCGUUAUAACCGGCGAUUUCCGAAUGGGGAAACCCAGUGUGAUUCGUCACACUAUCAUUAACUGAAUCCAUAGGUUAAUGAGGCGAACCGGGGGAACUGAAACAUCUAAGUACCCCGAGGAAAAGAAAUCAACCGAGAUUCCCCCAGUAGCGGCGAGCGAACGGGGAGCAGCCCAGAGCCUGAAUCAGUGUGUGUGUUAGUGGAAGCGUCUGGAAAGGCGCGCGAUACAGGGUGACAGCCCCGUACACAAAAAUGCACAUGCUGUGAGCUCGAUGAGUAGGGCGGGACACGUGGUAUCCUGUCUGAAUAUGGGGGGACCAUCCUCCAAGGCUAAAUACUCCUGACUGACCGAUAGUGAACCAGUACCGUGAGGGAAAGGCGAAAAGAACCCCGGCGAGGGGAGUGAAAAAGAACCUGAAACCGUGUACGUACAAGCAGUGGGAGCCUCUUUAUGGGGUGACUGCGUACCUUUUGUAUAAUGGGUCAGCGACUUAUAUUCUGUAGCAAGGUUAACCGAAUAGGGGAGCCGAAGGGAAACCGAGUCUUAACUGGGCGUUAAGUUGCAGGGUAUAGACCCGAAACCCGGUGAUCUAGCCAUGGGCAGGUUGAAGGUUGGGUAACACUAACUGGAGGACCGAACCGACUAAUGUUGAAAAAUUAGCGGAUGACUUGUGGCUGGGGGUGAAAGGCCAAUCAAACCGGGAGAUAGCUGGUUCUCCCCGAAAGCUAUUUAGGUAGCGCCUCGUGAAUUCAUCUCCGGGGGUAGAGCACUGUUUCGGCAAGGGGGUCAUCCCGACUUACCAACCCGAUGCAAACUGCGAAUACCGGAGAAUGUUAUCACGGGAGACACACGGCGGGUGCUAACGUCCGUCGUGAAGAGGGAAACAACCCAGACCGCCAGCUAAGGUCCCAAAGUCAUGGUUAAGUGGGAAACGAUGUGGGAAGGCCCAGACAGCCAGGAUGUUGGCUUAGAAGCAGCCAUCAUUUAAAGAAAGCGUAAUAGCUCACUGGUCGAGUCGGCCUGCGCGGAAGAUGUAACGGGGCUAAACCAUGCACCGAAGCUGCGGCAGCGACGCUUAUGCGUUGUUGGGUAGGGGAGCGUUCUGUAAGCCUGUGAAGGUGUGCUGUGAGGCAUGCUGGAGGUAUCAGAAGUGCGAAUGCUGACAUAAGUAACGAUAAAGCGGGUGAAAAGCCCGCUCGCCGGAAGACCAAGGGUUCCUGUCCAACGUUAAUCGGGGCAGGGUGAGUCGACCCCUAAGGCGAGGCCGAAAGGCGUAGUCGAUGGGAAACAGGUUAAUAUUCCUGUACUUGGUGUUACUGCGAAGGGGGGACGGAGAAGGCUAUGUUGGCCGGGCGACGGUUGUCCCGGUUUAAGCGUGUAGGCUGGUUUUCCAGGCAAAUCCGGAAAAUCAAGGCUGAGGCGUGAUGACGAGGCACUACGGUGCUGAAGCAACAAAUGCCCUGCUUCCAGGAAAAGCCUCUAAGCAUCAGGUAACAUCAAAUCGUACCCCAAACCGACACAGGUGGUCAGGUAGAGAAUACCAAGGCGCUUGAGAGAACUCGGGUGAAGGAACUAGGCAAAAUGGUGCCGUAACUUCGGGAGAAGGCACGCUGAUAUGUAGGUGAAGCGACUUGCUCGUGGAGCUGAAAUCAGUCGAAGAUACCAGCUGGCUGCAACUGUUUAUUAAAAACACAGCACUGUGCAAACACGAAAGUGGACGUAUACGGUGUGACGCCUGCCCGGUGCCGGAAGGUUAAUUGAUGGGGUUAGCGCAAGCGAAGCUCUUGAUCGAAGCCCCGGUAAACGGCGGCCGUAACUAUAACGGUCCUAAGGUAGCGAAAUUCCUUGUCGGGUAAGUUCCGACCUGCACGAAUGGCGUAAUGAUGGCCAGGCUGUCUCCACCCGAGACUCAGUGAAAUUGAACUCGCUGUGAAGAUGCAGUGUACCCGCGGCAAGACGGAAAGACCCCGUGAACCUUUACUAUAGCUUGACACUGAACAUUGAGCCUUGAUGUGUAGGAUAGGUGGGAGGCUUUGAAGUGUGGACGCCAGUCUGCAUGGAGCCGACCUUGAAAUACCACCCUUUAAUGUUUGAUGUUCUAACGUUGACCCGUAAUCCGGGUUGCGGACAGUGUCUGGUGGGUAGUUUGACUGGGGCGGUCUCCUCCUAAAGAGUAACGGAGGAGCACGAAGGUUGGCUAAUCCUGGUCGGACAUCAGGAGGUUAGUGCAAUGGCAUAAGCCAGCUUGACUGCGAGCGUGACGGCGCGAGCAGGUGCGAAAGCAGGUCAUAGUGAUCCGGUGGUUCUGAAUGGAAGGGCCAUCGCUCAACGGAUAAAAGGUACUCCGGGGAUAACAGGCUGAUACCGCCCAAGAGUUCAUAUCGACGGCGGUGUUUGGCACCUCGAUGUCGGCUCAUCACAUCCUGGGGCUGAAGUAGGUCCCAAGGGUAUGGCUGUUCGCCAUUUAAAGUGGUACGCGAGCUGGGUUUAGAACGUCGUGAGACAGUUCGGUCCCUAUCUGCCGUGGGCGCUGGAGAACUGAGGGGGGCUGCUCCUAGUACGAGAGGACCGGAGUGGACGCAUCACUGGUGUUCGGGUUGUCAUGCCAAUGGCACUGCCCGGUAGCUAAAUGCGGAAGAGAUAAGUGCUGAAAGCAUCUAAGCACGAAACUUGCCCCGAGAUGAGUUCUCCCUGACCCUUUAAGGGUCCUGAAGGAACGUUGAAGACGACGACGUUGAUAGGCCGGGUGUGUAAGCGCAGCGAUGCGUUGAGCUAACCGGUACUAAUGAACCGUGAGGCUUAACCUU
RNAcentral lists this ribosomal RNA (2903 nucleotides) under Escherichia coli. RNAcentral's name for it is "23S ribosomal RNA". It matches the Rfam family "Bacterial large subunit ribosomal RNA". Lineage: Bacteria; Pseudomonadati; Pseudomonadota; Gammaproteobacteria; Enterobacterales; Enterobacteriaceae. The record is from RNAcentral.